This 927-nucleotide non-coding RNA is filed under the name Dendropsophus marmoratus (marbled treefrog). RNAcentral describes it as "partial 12S ribosomal RNA". It matches the Rfam family "Bacterial small subunit ribosomal RNA". Lineage: Eukaryota; Metazoa; Chordata; Amphibia; Anura; Hylidae. The record is from RNAcentral.
UGGUCCUGGCCCUGAAGUCAGUUAUUACUUAGUAUACACAUGCAAGUCUCCGCCCCCCUGUGAAAACGCCCUUAAACCUCUUUAAGAGAUAAGGAGCUGGUAUCAGGCACAAACAUUAGCCCAAGACACCUAGCCAUGCCACACCCACACGGGAAUUCAGCAGUGAUUAACAUUGUUUAUAAGCGACAGCUUGAAUCAGCUAAAGUAAAGAGAGCCGGCAAAUCUGGUGCCAGCCGCCGCGGUUACACCAUGUGGCUCAAACUGACCUCCCUCGGCGUAAAGCGUGAUUAAAGUACUCCUCCCCAUCUGCAGUUAAAUUAAAAUUAAGCUGUGACACGCUUAUUAUUAAGAAAAUCAAAAACGAAAGUUAUUGCAGACCUAAAAGCUUGAAUUCACGACAACUAGGACACAAACUGGGAUUAGAUACCCCACUAUGCCUAGUCGUAAACCUUUUACUUACACCCACAUCGCCAGGGAACUACGAGCAAAGCUUAAAACCCAAAGGACUUGACGGUACCCCAUAUCCACCUAGAGGAGCCUGUCCUAUAAUCGAUAACCCCCGCUUAACCUCACCAUUUUUAGCCUAUCAGCCUGUAUACCUCCGUCGUCAGCUUACCACGUGAGCGCCAACUAGUGAGCUAAAUGCCCUUACACCAAUACGUCAGGUCAAGGUGCAGCAUAUAAAAUGGGAAGAGAUGGGCUACACUAUCUAGCAUAGAUCAUACGAAAGACUAUUAUAUGAAAUCUAGUCAGAAGGCGGAUUUAGAAGUAAAGAAAGACCAAAGUGCUUUCUUUAACCCGGCACUGGGGUGUGUACACACCGCCCGUCACCCUCUUCGAAGCCAUAAGACAGUUUUUAACACCUAUAAGCAUUAAAGAAGAGGCAAGUCGUAACAUGGUAAGUAUACCGGAAGGUGUGCUUGGAAA